CAGCUGUGGGAAAACAAGUCUUGUCACAGUGGGGCCCUCAGCUUCUCUGUAACACUAGAGACUCCUGCAAAGCCCUGGGCUCAAGUGAGGUGGGUCCUGAAAACAGUCCAAAGAGAAGCAGACGAAGGCUCAGUGUGGGUCAGGGUGUGAGUGUGGGGCUGCCCCACUCACUCACUGUCUCUCAGGCCAUGGUUACCUACAGACCCAGGUGGGCUUCCUCAAGGAGGUGCUGCCUGAACUGGGUACGAUAAGGAAGGGAGGAAAGGUUUCAGCCAGGGAGGAACGGCAUGUGCAAAGAUAGAGAGGCAUGAAAUAGCAUAGCUCAGUGCACAAACCUUCAGGGAGUCUGGAGUGGCUGGAAAGUACAGGGUGGGUGGGAGAUGAGAGUGAAUCAUAGAAACGAAGUCAGGGGCCCUAAUAAACCAAUCACAAUGCUUGUUUCGGGGGUUUAACAAGAGUCAUGUAGCCAUAUAUGAACUUCUAAAACACAAAGAAUGGAUUGGAGGGAUCUGUCUUUGAAAGCAAGAUGUUAUUGCAGUAAUCGGCAUAAGAAGUAAUGAAAGGAGACAGUAGCCACAGGAAGAGAGGAAAACAAUAUGUGGAGAUGUGUUAGUGACAGCAUUGACCUUGGUGACCAGUUACUAUCAUCUGACAUUUGAUGAGUGCUCGCUAUGUACUGCAUGGUGUGCUAAAGAAGUGUGUUAACUCAGUCAACCUCUACAACCACCAACCAUUAUCCCCAGUUUACAUGUAAUGAAACUGACGCACAAAGGGGUGAAAUGAUACGUCCAGCAUCACACAGCUUGGAAGCUGAAGAUCUGAGGUUCAACCUGUUCAACUCUUAACUCAUCAUUUUCCUCCCCAAUAUUGGUUCUCCCUUGGUUCUUCCUGGCAUCACCAGCCCUCACACCAGAAGUCUCAGAGCUCCAGUUUCAGUGCCUGUAGGGCACCCAAGUUGGCUGGAACCUUGGAGAACAGGUUGGAGGAUACUGUCCCAGAAACAAAGAGAAGAAAGAGCUUUAAGAGGAUGAAACGGUCAGCCUGGCCUAAAGCAGCAGGGAGGUCUAGCAAGAUAAAGACUAAAACACUGAGCAACAGAAAAGUUGAUGCUGAAUUCCACCCCAACACUUUUAGCGGAGAGGUGGAGGAAAGCAAACUUUAGAUCAGGGUGGGAAUGAGAAGGGGAGGAAAGGUCAGGAGGCAGCAACUUAGAUCCUGGAAAAUAUUUCCAUGAAGCUUGGCUUUAAAGGAAGGGAGAUCUGAUCACAAGGUCUAGCGGAGUGUUUACUGUUGUCACUUCUGGUUUUUUAAGCACUGAACACAACCAUGCUUAGAGCCUGAGGACCGGGAGAAGACGGGAGAGCUGAAGGAAUGCAUUUCCCAAUAAGAUGUGAGGCCAUGGAAUCCAGCAAUGGUGGCAGGGGCUAGGGGCCACCUGUGGAAGGAAGAGAGAGGAAAUGUGGCAAAAAUGGGUUAAAAAGUUCUAGUUAAAGGGCCAAGAAGUUGAGUGAGUCCCACCUGAUGGCCUCUAUUCACUCAGUAAAGAAGGGAACCAUCUGCUGAAAAUGCACGCGGGGUUAGGAAAGGAGAGCCAGUUGCGACGUUUUCAGGAAUUCUCGGAGUGAGUUAUCAGAUGCAGCCACUAAAAUGGAGGCCCUGGCAAGAGUAGUUACACCACAGAAACUGACACAGGCUUUUUUGUUUGUUUCCCGAGAACCACACCCCUGGAUGAGGGGUUUGAAUAAAGAGAGAGCUCCAAAAGGGGGUGAGGACAAUGAAGGAGGCAGUUAGGAGGACCCUAUGCAGAAGGACCCAGAAUCACCAAGGAAGCCCCUUCCCCAGCAGCUCAGCAGAUGCAAAACUCUUCUAAGACCUCGGAGUUGGCUGGGUUGCCCAAGGAGCCAUAUAAAGUUGACCAGAAGGUUGGCAGUUCUUGCUGUAAGGAUGGGGAUGGUGAGUCAUUUGGCUGGUGGUGAACGUGUAACUCUGAGAGGUUGAGUGACUUGCCCAAGGUCACACAGUGGACAAAUGACUGGACCUCAAGCACCCUGGCCUUCUCCCGGCCCCACCUCAGCAAGCCAGCCUCCUGGAGCUCUGCCAGAGUCCCCACACCCUGACAGUCUCUGGUCGUAACUGGAUCUGGAUCCCAGCCCUCCCACUCAGGAGCGAGAAUCAAGAGCGGGCGCAAAACCUCCUUCCACUCUGAGCAUCUUCUGUGGUGAACAGUUCGUGUUUUUACAUUCUCCUUUUCAUCACAGCCCUCCACUGAAUUUUGAAAAGCCUCCUCAAAAGACAGUGGUGUAGUUGUUGACUCUGGGGAGGGAGGGGGUGUUACAAUGACACUUUGGCUGUAUUUUUUUUUUAAGGGAGUCUUUUAGAGAUCUAGACUGAAAUAUUUAUAGAUGAAAUGCUAUGAUGUCUUGGAUUUACUUCAGAACAACCCAGGCCUGGCUGUGGGAGGAGGCAUGGCUGGGGGUGCUGAGCAAACAAGACUGGCUGAGAUUGAGAACUGUUAAGACUGAGCGACGGGGACACGGGGUUCAUUCUGCUCUUCUCCAUACUUUUGGAUAUACGGUUUGAAAUUUUCCAUAAGAAAAGCCAGUUGACUGGUGGGGUUGUUAGCAAAAAGCAGAAGCCAUUGUGGGCUUUGUGCAUUGACAUAAAAUGUUCAGGACGAGGGAGGGGUGGUCUGAGAAACCCCACCUGGAGGGCUGUGCUCCAUUCUGGCCCACACGUUGUGCGAGGCCUUAAACAGGCAGAGGCAGGUCUAGAGGGGGCCACGGUGAAGGGACUCCAGAUUCUGACUCACUGGUCUCAGCUAGAGAGGAAAGACUUCGAGGGGGCAGGAAGAGCUGUUCUCACGCACAGAGGGCUAUCUGGGGAGAGGGGUUCUUUGUCCACACUCACCCUCUGUAGGCUCUGCCCUGUGGCCAAGCGUUUCCUCUGAGCCCCACCUGCCCCCUCCCAGACCCUACACUACUCUUCCCCUCCUCCCAGCCUCGGCCAAGAGGAGGCAACAUAACCCGGCCAGCCAAGCGCGGCCCCGCCAGCUCUGUAAGUCACAGACAACAUGAAUCUGCUUCCCUCCCUUAGCCUAAAACAUCCUGUUCCCUACGUGUCUGCGAUGAGGUCUAACUUGGCUCCCAAACCCCUCCAGGGAAGAGGCUGGGCCGAGGGCUGUUCUCCACAUCACACAGCAAUAAUCUCUCACAUCUGGACAGAACUGCACCCUGGGCCGCACCGCACAACUGUCUGUGAGCUCAUCCAGCCUCCCAGCGGGCUCCGGGAGAGAGAGCUGGGGCAGAGCCAGAGCCGGGACCGGGCCCGCACCACGGCCUGCACCGCUGUGUCCCCACCCCGGCGGGGCCUCAGUGUCCAUCUCAACAGAUCUCAACGCACGACAGCAGGAAACACACCGGUGACCCCCCACUCUCCACCAGGCUCAGCCACAGAUGGGUGUGAGCCCCUGGGAGCCUUCCUCUCCCUGAGCCCCUGCUGCCCACUCUGGACCCCAGGGUGGGGAGGGCAGAGGUGCUGCCGGCCCAAAUGUAGUUCCUCCGUGAUCCGGCUCUGUCUUUCAAGCCUCAGAACUUAGCUGCGAGGACAGAACCAGGAUGAGUCAAGGACAAGCUGCCAAGAACUAGGCAGGAACUUCCUUUACUUCUUGCUUCCUCACUAGUGGGAAGGGGCUCCCGGUCAUGCCAGCUUCACGGGGCUUUGGGGAAGCUCAAAACAGGGCAGGAGGCAAGGAGGCUGAAGGAUUAUCACGCUCGGCCGUGGGCAGCCAAGGCUGUGGUUCCCAGUGUUCCCUUCCUGCCUUCGCUCCCGCCCUCCCGGCCCCGGCCAGUUGGGAAAUGGACCUUCUUGGAUGCCGGGUUGUUUUCCCUGGCCUGGCUCCUGCUCAGGGCCUAUGUGUGCCCUGGAUGGUGGCCAAGGGUGGAACAUGGUGAGAGCGGGCUGCCGGUGGAGGCCAGAGGCCCAGGGAGGCACUGGGCUAACUUCUCCAGUUAAAGGGACAUCCUCUGGGCCCCCAUUCUCUGAGUGGGCAGCACAGCCCUCUCUACUGACAGGCAGAGGAGACCUUUGUCUCUGCAUCCAAACACUGAGAAGGCGCACAUAACUCAAAUGACUCCUGACCCUGAAAGGUGCUGCCGUGCCUCUGAACAUCAAAGACAGCCUUUGCUUUGACCGGUCCCACUUGUCACUUGGGGGUUAAUUCUAUUUGACCACAUUCAAUAUAAUAGCGUAAUAAAUUUUACCACAUUCAA
Molecule: non-coding RNA, 4268 nt
Organism: Vicugna pacos (alpaca)
Lineage: Eukaryota; Metazoa; Chordata; Mammalia; Artiodactyla; Camelidae
Source: RefSeq, a predicted model, not a curated record